GUGUUGUAAAGGACUGUGAUAACAAACAAUGGACAGUGAAUGCUAUUGGUGGGCUUUUUAUUUGACAGUUGAAACUACGAAUCAGUACAGCUUUAGCGUCAUCUGAAAGUAGUUCCGCCAAAGGAAAUAGAAGUGCGUUGCAUCAGAAAGUUUAGUGCGGAGCUAAUGAGUGUUCUCCAAAAGUUUAUUUCAAGUUUGUGCGUGCAGCUAGAAAACCACACAUACUCACAUAUCUACAGUGGAGAAUAAAAAUUGAAGAAGAAACAUCAGAGUCCUUGCAUUCUAACCGGAUGUGCCAUAGUGAUUGCAAACCUUUACUAACCAGCCCCAAAUGAAUACUUCACAACAACUGGACUUCAAGCUACUUGGGCUACGAGCUUCUCCACCCUUCCUCCAGACUCUAGGACCUUGGUUUCCAAAUGAAAUACAAAACUUGCUCUCGUCUGAAAAGAGGACUUUGGACCACUUGGCAACAGUCCAGUUCUUCUUCUCCUUAGCCCAGGUAAGACGUCUCUGACGUUGUCUGUGGUUCAGGAGUGGCUUAACAAGAGAAAUACAACAACUGUAGCCAAAUUCCUUGACACGUCUGUGUGUGGUGGCUCUUGAUGCCUUGACCCCAGCCUCAGUCCAUUCCUUGUGAAGUUCACUCAAAUUCUUGAAUGGAUUUUGCUUGACAAUCCUCAUAAGGCUGUGGUUCUCUCGGUUGGUUGUGCAUCUUUUUCUUCCACACUUUUUCCUUCCACUCAACUUUCUGUUAACAUGCUUGGAUACAGCACUCUGUGAACAGCCAGCUUUUUUUUUGGCAAUGAAUGUUUGUGGCUUACCCUCCUUGUGAAGGGUGUCAGUGAUUGUCUUCUGGACAACUGUCAGACCAGCAGUCUUCCCCAUGAUUGUGUAGCCUAGUGAACCAAACUGAGAGACCAUUUUAAAGGCUCAGGAAACCUUUGCAGGUGUUUUGAGUUGAUCAGCUGAUUGGCAUGUCACCAUAUUCUAAUUUGUUGAGAUUGUGAAUUGGUGGGUUUUUGUUAAAUGUGAGCCAAAAUCAUCACAAUUAAAAGAACCAAAUACUUAAACUA
Cyprinus carpio carpio is the source of this 1076-nucleotide long non-coding RNA. The record is from Ensembl. Lineage: Eukaryota; Metazoa; Chordata; Actinopteri; Cypriniformes; Cyprinidae.